RNAcentral lists this transfer RNA (73 nucleotides) under Xenococcus sp. (in: cyanobacteria). RNAcentral describes it as "tRNA-Ile". It matches the Rfam family "tRNA". From Rfam's summary of the family: Transfer RNA (tRNA) molecules are approximately 80 nucleotides in length. Their secondary structure includes four short double-helical elements and three loops (D, anti-codon, and T loops). RNAcentral also lists the same sequence under 8 other names. Lineage: Bacteria; Bacillati; Cyanobacteriota; Cyanophyceae; Pleurocapsales; Xenococcaceae. The record is from RNAcentral.
CCAGGGUUGGCCGAGCGGUUUAGGCAACGAACUCAUAAUUCGUGCAAGGCAGGUUCAACUCCUGCACCCUGGA